RNAcentral lists this long non-coding RNA (507 nucleotides) under Musa acuminata (dwarf banana). RNAcentral describes it as "long non-coding RNA (MACU_LNC005211)". The record is from RNAcentral. Lineage: Eukaryota; Viridiplantae; Streptophyta; Magnoliopsida; Zingiberales; Musaceae.
UUCUUUGGAAAAAAAAAACCAUACGCAUGAAUGUAUCUCUGUGUAAGCAUGUAUAUAUGUCUAUAUGUUCUCUUAGAAGCCCAAACACAAUUCUGGCAUAUAGCAAGCCCGUGCAUCAUGAGAUGGCAAUCAAGCACUUGUAGAAGCACUCAACACUAUGCCAUUAUCCACAUGUUUCACAUCAAGGUUCGCAAUACCGUACCGUACCAGAGUUUCGAUCUGGGCUCGGUACCGGUACGGUACGGUAUACCGCUCGGUACACCCAGGUGUACCGAGCGGUAUAUUCAGGCGUGCCGAGCACUGUAGCAGUGUCGGAACGGUAACAUAUAGUCCGCGUACCGAAAGUCUGUCGGACCGGUACGUACCGCCCGUACCGGGCGGUACGGAUCGAUACUGCAAACCAUGUUUCACAUCCAGCAUAAAGACUACAAUCAAGAAUACAAGAAACAUGAUCGUGAAACAGAUCAAUGAGCUCACAUCUGCUAUUUCUUUCAACUUCUGAGUUGG